CAGUAGCCGCGGGAAAACGAAGGGGGCGAGCGUUAUUCGGAAUCACUGGGCGUAAAGCGUGCGUAGGCGGUCCUAAAAGUUAGGAGUGAAAGCCCAGGGCUCAACCCUGGAAUUGCUCUUAAAACUAUAGGACUAGAAUUCGGGAGAGGAUAGCGGAAUUGUCAGUGUAGCAGUGAAAUGCGUAGAUAUUGACAGGAACACCAGUGGCGUAAGCGGCUAUCUGGACCGACAUUGACGCUGAGGCACGAAAGCGUGGGGAUCAAACAGGAUUAGAUACCCCCGUAGUCCCUGUCUCUUAUAC
Molecule: ribosomal RNA, 301 nt
Filed under: uncultured bacterium
Lineage: Bacteria
Description: partial 16S ribosomal RNA
Rfam family: Bacterial small subunit ribosomal RNA
Source: RNAcentral